GCCUGGACGGCCGCGGACAUUCCGACGAGCGGCCGGGGUUCGCGCGGUCUGUCGCGAAGCGACCCGGCGGGCUGGAGCUACUGCGGAGCGUGGGCUCGGCCCUAGCGGGAGCCAAGCACCGGCCGCAGCUCUCUGUGGGCUGCAAUUCUAGCAAACAGCCGGAAGCGCCCUGCUGGUUGCUGCUGCUUUUGCUCUUCCGUCCUGCAGGCUCUUCACGAGCAUCCCUCCCUGCGCUCCAGCUCCCGGCCGCGGCGGAUGGAAGAUAACCCGUGGAGAUUCAGCCCAUGGAGACAAGCCCUGUUUGCUCUUUUCUGCCUAAUCCUCUCAGCACUCCAGAACCUUCCAAGAUGAGCAUGCAACCCUCUAAAGUUUCAGGUGACUAUUUAUUUUCCAGUGGUUUGGACCAGUCAGUAUUUGGUUAACUAAUACCACAUUAAAUAAUAUAUAACUACAUUAGCAAGCAGUGAUCCAGUUAUUACCCAUCAACAUUUUGGCUGGUCACAUGCUGCAUUCCAAUGCAUAUAAGAUAAUAAAAUAGGACAGAGGUGUUUAUGUUGUUGUUGGUUUUUUUUUUUUUGUGUCAAUGAAAAAUUGUCCUCAACUUGGCUUGGUCAAUUUUAGAAGUUAUCAUAUUCAAAUAGAAAGUGUACAUUUACCUUGGGUUCUACAUGUUUUUCUACUUAGGGGAUUUUUUCCACUAUUCUAAGACCACAUACAGAACUUUGAAGGGAGAUGAGUUUACUCAAUCUUCCAAAGAAGUCUGAGAAAUCACAACCACCACCAUUAGGUUUGUACAGUGUUUUGUGCUAAAUUAUUUCAAACAUGGUGGUGUUCUUCUUCUUUAGAGAUAGCACUAAGUCUUGUAAAUAAGCCUUUAUUAUGGUUUUUCUUUUUUUCAGUUACAAGAUCUUUACACUCACUCACCACCCACAGUGAUUGAAAUAACAACUUGUGUUCAGCCUACCUUAAGCAAGAACACUUCCUAUACUGGGCUCAAUUAAUUUGACUCAUUUUUAAAUGUAGGGAACUUAUCUAUGGUUCUUUCUUUUUUUAGGACAGUGACAAAAAAAGAGGAAGAGACACCUGAUCUGCAGCAUGAUGAGAACUGGACAUUUUGGGGGCCUCUCAGUGCAUAGAUCUGUAAUAGAACAGUGUAAGAAGUAGUGGCAUACACAGUCAUCAUCCUACCUCAUCACACUAGUAGGUUUUGAUUUCUAAAGCAGAAAAUGCCCUCAAGUUUUCUCAAGACAUUUUUUCCACCUUCAACUUCAAUAGCAAACCCCACCUCUGCUGAAUGACUUGUGUAAGAUAGAAUGCAGAACUCAUGCAUUCAGCAGCUCCUCUUAAAUUAUCUUAAAACAGCCUCACAGAUGUUUCCUGAUCACAGAUUAUCAGCUUACAGGUGUUUUUUUUGUUUUUUUUUUUAAACUAUGCAUAAACCAAAGCACAGACCCAGAAAGACCAUGUACGUUUUGUCAAGUCCUUGCAGCAAUGUAAAAAAAAAAAAAUAUAUAUAUAAAUGAUCAUACACGUCCGUAUUUCACUCAAGAUUAAAAAUCAUCUGCCAGAAGAACAACUGCUUGCUAUCAAGUGUAUUUUUAUAACGCGAUUUCAACUUUAAGAUAAGAUUUAGAAGUCCAUAUUUGAUAAAAUUAAGCUUGGUAGAUGGUAACACCAUUAUACUAUUUAGAAGCCAUAUCUUUCCUCUGCCAGCAGAUUUAUGAGUGGGACCUUGAAUUUUACUGCAUUUUAGUAGUUUGUAGUGCUAGGCCUUCCUUUGGCAGCCUACAGCAUAGAGGCAUGUUUUCAGCCAAAUAUAUAUAUGCAUUUUUUAAUCUCCUGUGACAGUUUUUUAAAGAACACAUUUUGAUGUGGCUUUUGACUUUCUCUGGACUCCUUACAGAUUCCUAUUUUGGAGAGAUUUUACUGGAAGCUGUGCUGAUGCCCUGGCAGCCAAGAGGGCAAAACCACAGUCUGGUGUGCAUUAAAUCCAACACAGCCAGCUAGUCAAAUGAGGCAAUUAUACCACUGUUGACAGUGCAAGGGGACAGCCCAAAGCUGUGGAAGGAGAGGACUGGGAAUUAGAAGUGUUUAUUUUCUGCAAGCAUGGUCAAACACUGGAACAGGCUUACGAGCAAGGUGUUGAUGCCUCAUGCCUGUCCAUGUUCAAGAGCUAUGAGAAUAACAGCCCUAAAGAGGUCAGGCAGGUCGACAUGGCCUUUGUAGGCCCUUAUCCAACUGAACAGUUCUAAUAAAAGUAGGUGCACAUAGCACUGCAGAACUGCAAGGUAUCUUAAUUUCUGUUGUGGUAUCAGUUAAAUUCAACACACGCUGACUUUACUGGCUAUUCUGCAGUGCACUGAGGUUAGCUGCUCCAGUCUUAAAAUCCUCUUAAACAUACAUGUAAAUGCUAGCUUAUUUCUACGUAAACAUAAAAAAGCAGCACAAUUUACAGCCAGUCACGUUGUUUUAGCUAAGAGAUCAGAGACACCAACACUGUAUUUAUCCAAAACAUAUUAUAGGAUACAAGGAAGACUGGGCACAUUAUCAUCAUCUGUAUGGCAUACAUGGGAUGGACUGCUUCAGCAUCAGCAAACCCUUUCUCAUCAUUUUCAUGGCAGCAGAAAUUUCUUCAGAGAAAAGGAAUUCACAGGUACCUCACUGUAAAUCCACUCUUUGCCAGUUCAGAACGUACCUGUAAUGUCUUCCCCUAAAAGACAAUUCAAACAUUUUGAGGGGAAAAAAUGAAAAAAAAUAAAAUAUAUAUAUACUCAUUUUCACUCCUUUAAUCUCUCUGUUGUAGUGUUAGCACCUAAUAUAUGCAUCCACUCUUCUACUGUCAUCCUAUUUACAAUCCACUGAAAUGUAUACUCUAAAAAUACAAUACAGUUUCAGAAAUGUAAGGGGAAAUGCACAAUUUUCUAAGGUUUAAAAAAGUGACAGCCAUCUGUACAGGAUCAUCAAAUUUAUCAUCCAAGAAGUAAAAUUUACAAGGCAGUAUCCAUCCACACAGCUACAUGAAGGGGUAGGUGCUACACUCAAAGCAGCAGACUUGCUAAUACAACAAAAUAUGGAAUAUGAAAGUGUUUUGGGGCACGGGAAAAUACAUUUAGUACCACUGAAGCUAAAAAUUUAGGAUUAGCCAUAUUCUAAAAACAUGUAACUGCAAACCUGGAAAACGUUCUGAAAAUAUUAAGCAUUAUAUACACGAGGUAAAUGUACCUUGGCCUUUUAAGAGGUAAUUAGAGUUUAAAGCAACUGAUAGUGAUUUUUUUUUUUUAUAAACAUGAAAUGAUUAACACCAUACAAUCGUUUCAAUGGAACAGUAUAAACAAGAAACUAACUAAAAGCUGGAAUUCAUGACAAUCACACGCAGAACCAUGACUGAAAAUAUAAUAUAGCCUCUUAUUUGUUUGACACCUUCAUGUUCCCAUACAGUCAGUGUUUUUAUAUACAAAGUCUUUCUCAGGAUUACAAGUGAGACCACAGGAGGGUGACAGCAGAUCAUCACGCCUGGAAAAUCAGCUUGAUAAACAUCUCAGAAUUCCAGCUUUCAACAUUAGAAGGUCCCUGAAGAACUCCAGCAUUCCAAAAGCAUUAUUUUGGGCUUUUCAGCAUCAGAAAAUUCUCCCCACUCUUUAUUCUACAUGUCAGUAUGCAUCCAACUGAUCGCCGAGGCUUCCAAUGCUACUAAAAUAUCAAAUUGAUUGAAUCCAUAAAACUUAAGUGAACAUAUAAGGUACGUAUAUUUACAAUAAACAUUUGCAUCAGUAUUCAAACUGUUUUGGUAUAUACUUGAAAUGAUAUAAAAUUAGUAUUUUGAAUGCUAAAAUAUUUUGGUCCCCCUGGAUUUCCAAGAGCAGAUCCGGUGAUAAUAAAAUCUUAAUUUAAAAAAUACUUAUGUGUACCUGUGUCCAUACAUAUAAGAUAUGAUCUUGCACAGGUAACACUUAAAGUUACAUAAUAUAUACAGACACAGCCUUUGUAAAAGGUGUUCAGUUUUUAUAAUGUAAAAGAACACAGCAUGAAGUCGUGGUAUCCGAACUGAGGAUACAUACAUAUCCAUUCAGAAUUUUCCUGUACUGCAUUCCAAUAUGAACAACAUAGUUGUUCUAAAAUAAUAUUUGUAAUGUCACACAGUAUUGACUGUCCUUCCCAUGGCAUGAUGUUUCUAAAUUAUGAACUAUACCAUUUGUAUCUAUGAUAAGGAAUCAGGUAAAGCUACGACAAAUGUCAGAAUUUAACAUUAUUUAGAUAGUAAGUCUCUAAAAUUAGUAUGGAGCAAAUAGUAAGUCUUCCUCUGAUGCUGACUUGUUUUCUGUAAGUAUUUUUCUGCAUCUACAGGAUGCAUUAAAGGGGCAUGUCAAAUAAGUAGAAUGAAGAGUCUGGUUACAUUUGGUCAUUUGCAUAAAGGUAGUUUAAAAUCCCUAUGUGAAGUCAUUUUGAUUUAACUUUGACUGACGGCGUCCUGAAAGCAGCGUGCCAAAAAGAAACACAACACACAGGUGGGACAGUUGUACGAACAUUGCAACCCACCUGUUUUCUACUGAGAACUUCUCUGUCAUUGUGUUCUGUUCUCUAAACUCAUCCACUGUGGUGGCUGAAGAAAGAAUUGCGUGACACGCAGCUCAAACUCUGCCAUAAUUCCACAUCAUUUAAUCCCAUCUCCAAGCAAGCAUUAAGAGUUUGGCACUGCUCAAGACUUACCUAACGCUAAGCCUUGGCCAAGACUUUUGCCACCUACACGGCCUUUUCAUUAGGCUCUCUGCCCAUCUUACUGCUGUUACCAAUUGUGCAUCACAGACGAGGGGCACAAUCUCAGCUAUGCUACCGUUAGCAAAUCACCUUGCCAUCCCUACUAGCUCUGUGAAAAGCCUUCUAGGAGCUAUAUGCUGAAAAACAAAAAGAAAGCAGAAUUAAGGUUGCUGUGUGUUGCUCGCCAAGAAUACUCCUGGAGAGUGAAAGGUUAAUUGUUAGUUUAUAUACUAAUUACCAGCCAAAGAUCAACCACACUCUUCCUACCACUGCAAGUAAAACAUAUCCUGGCAAGAACAAAUUUUAACAAGUUUCCCUACCCUCAUUCAGAAGUUGGGCAGGAAGGAAUUCAAUUUCUAAACAAGUCUGCGAAGAUACUGUGAUGUCCCUACAACUUCAGGCAAGGUCUGACUAAAGCCAGGCAUGCUUUUAUGUAUCCUUACAACAACACAAACCAUCAUAAGCUUUGUUCUUCUGAAGAACAUUGAUGGAGUCUUCUGGUAUUUGUAUCUAAAGGCCUUCAGCUCACUGGUUUCUAUAGCUCAUCCCUUUCUUUGUAUGUGGCACACAGAAAAUAUGCACAUAAGAUUUACAGGCAGCUUCUAGCUUUCUUGUACAAAAGCCUAAAUAAGUCUCCCUAGUUACAACUACACUUCACGCUCAUUUAAUUGUGAAUAUUAGCUUUUAAGCCUAAAGACUCCACAGAACUGCACAGAAUAUAUGCUUCUAUUACUUAAUUUGAAGGGGGAAAAUCUUCCUUGAGAUCAUCUUAAUUUUCACGCUAUUUUUCUGAAGUAGGUUGGUCUUCAAGAUUUCAGAAUUACCACAUAAAAUAAAGCUUAAAUUACGACUCAUGACUUGGCAAUUACAAAGUGUGACAAUGAAUUAACCAGUUUACAUGUUUUGAGACUCAUACAAUAGUUUAAAGAGUUAGAUUUUGGUGAAAUUCAAGGUCUUCCACAAAUUACACACUCACUUGCUGAAAUGAGUGCGAGUUAAAUCUUACCUAGGGAAAGGAACAGUUCAUUCUUGGAAAUCAAAAGUACCAUGGGCUCUGUACACUUGCUGGUAUGCAUGAAAAGACUCAAAAGCAGCACUUACUGAUAUAAUACAAUCUAUUUUAAAGGCAAUGUAGUGUUCUGAAAAUAUGGAAAAAAAAAACAAAA
Molecule: long non-coding RNA, 5921 nt
Organism: Lagopus muta (rock ptarmigan)
Lineage: Eukaryota; Metazoa; Chordata; Aves; Galliformes; Phasianidae
Exons: 2
Source: RefSeq, a predicted model, not a curated record